UAUAAUAUCAGCAUUUGGAGUGAAUCGAGUUCAUUUUAAAUUUUCUUAAAUUUAUUGAUUAUCAGAUGACAUAGUUAACAGCUUUUGUGAUUUUAAAACAAUUGAAGGUGAGAUUUACAUAAUUAAAUAAUCAAUUGAAAAAUUGAAUUGAGAUGUUAGUUUUACCUGACUGAUUUCUUUGUUGGGUUUAUUACUGCUCGAUGUUAAAACUCAAAAAUGGUUUUUAGGCAAGUGGUGAUCGGCCCGCCUGGGUUAGGAAAGACUACUUAUUGCAAUGGCAUGUCUGAGUUCCUCCAGCUCAUCGGAAGGAAAGUCGUUGUGGUAAAUUUGGAUCAUUCCACCAAUGCAUUGCUGUAUCCAAUGUCGUAUGUUGAGGUUCAAAGCCGAUUUGGGGACUUUGAAAUGGUGGAUGCCGGGCCAGUUACACUACUUCAGUGUUUGAUGAUUUGCUUAAAUGAAAUUGAAUCAUAACCAUGGAGGAUGAUAUCAUAGUGGAUCCAGUGGAGUCUCCAGAGAUUGUUGAUGAUCCAUUCCAAACUAUGUGAGUUUUCAAGUUGAAAAGUGGGAGUCCCAACUUUUAGCUCAGAGAAAAACUCUUGAUUGAAUAAAAUACUGAAGAGUCAAUUUAACAUCAGCAGAUAUGAGGGAUUCUGAUUUUAGUGGUUCAACUUUCAAACAUGGAGAAAGCUGUCACAUAUAAGGCAAACUUUGAGGAAGAGCACAGUAGCAUGUGCUUUGGGUGGGAGUUUGUACCACAGGGGAAGCUGUCGUACAUUCUUGAAGCAGAACAUCAUGCAGAGAACAUUCGGAGGAUUGGAACCAUGGGUGAAGAAAAUGGGUCCAAAUUCAGAGCUGCGUUCUUCUUCCCUCAAAAUAAGAAGAAAACACUUCCUCAGCACCAUAUUUUGGCACCUCAGGAUCAACUUGGGAAAGAACAGAAUAGAGCAGAGCACAAGCAUUAUCAAUUUAUUUGCUAAAGUAUUGCAGGCUUACAGCUAUCUUCCGAUGAGUUUGCACGCCACACCAAGCUUACAAUGGGUUUGCACGCCUGUAAAGCUCCAUCUUCCUCUUUCCUUCCCUCCAUUUUUUUAUUAUAAGUUUCGUGGUAACAUCAAUUUGUACAUCGAUCAAAUAGGAGCAGCUAUAUUUUGAACAACUAGUUAUGUAUGUAGAGUUGUCAACAACUAUUAUAUACAUUUUAUGAAUGCUUUGUACUUGUUUUGUAUAAGUACUUUUUACAUGUUUA
Pyrus x bretschneideri (Chinese white pear) is the source of this 1246-nucleotide RNA transcript. RefSeq lists it as uncharacterized. NCBI's taxonomy places the organism in Eukaryota, Viridiplantae, Streptophyta, Magnoliopsida, Rosales, Rosaceae. The record is from RefSeq and is a predicted model, not a curated record. The transcript has 9 exons.